RNAcentral lists this long non-coding RNA (366 nucleotides) under Nicotiana tabacum (common tobacco). Its description in RNAcentral is "long non-coding RNA (NTAB_LNC016617)". Lineage: Eukaryota; Viridiplantae; Streptophyta; Magnoliopsida; Solanales; Solanaceae. The record is from RNAcentral.
GGUCUGUGAUUUUGGUCUUUCUCGUUUCAAAGCUAAUACAUUUCUUUCAUCAAAGACUGCUGCCGGAACUGUAAGUUCUUGAUUCAAGCUCUGGUUCCUUUAGUGUUCUGUUGGUCUUUUGGCUCGUUUCUUGAUAACUAAAUAAGGAAAAGAAUGAUUUGGUGCUUAAUGUGACAUCCGGAAUGGAUGGCGCCUGAUGUUCUUCGUGAUGAACCAUCAAAUGAGAAAUCUGAUGUAUACAACUUUGGCGUUAUUUUAUGGGAGUUGGCAACACUACAACAACCAUGGAGUAAUUUGAGCGCACCACAGGUUUGUGCUUGGUAUUUUAGGUGUAAAUGGUGAUCUAAACAAUUGAAUAAGGGUGGC